AGAGUUUGAUCCUGGCUCAGAAUGAACGCUGGCGGCGUGCUUAACACAUGCAAGUCGUACGAGAACACUCUAGCUUGCUAGGGUAAGUAAAGUGGCGCACGGGUGAGUAACGCGUGGGUAAUCUACCUUCGAAUUGGGGAUAACGUUGCGAAAGCGACGCUAAUACCGAAUAACAUCCAUUUAUCCUCGGAUUUUUGGAUCAAGGGUGGCCUCUACAUGUAAGCUACUGUUUGAAGAUGAGCCCGCGUACCAUUAGCUUGUUGGUAGGGUAAUGGCCUACCAAGGCUACGAUGGUUAGCUGGUCUGAGAGGAUGAUCAGCCACACUGGAACUGACACACGGUCCAGACUCCUACGGGAGGCAGCAGUGAGGAAUCUUGCGCAAUGGGGGAAACCCUGACGCAGCAACGCCGCGUGAGUGAUGAAGGCUUUCGGGUCGUAAAACUCUGUCAAGUGGGAAGAAACUAUUUCGUGCCAAUACCACGAAAUAUUGACGGUACCACUGAAGGAAGCACCGGCUAACUCCGUGCCAGCAGCCGCGGUAAUACGGGGGGUGCAAGCGUUAUUCGGAAUCAUUGGGCGUAAAGGGCGCGUAGGCGGNCCAGUAAGUCAGAUGUGAAAGCCCGGGGCUCAACCCCGGAAGUGCAUUUGAAACUAUUGGACUUGAGUAUGGGAGAGGGAAGUGG
Molecule: ribosomal RNA, 684 nt
Filed under: uncultured delta proteobacterium
Lineage: Bacteria; Deltaproteobacteria
Description: bacterial SSU rRNA
Rfam family: Bacterial small subunit ribosomal RNA
Source: RNAcentral